UACGUAGGGUGCAAGCGUUAAUCGGAAUUACUGGGCGUAAAGCGUGCGCAGGCGGUUAUAUAAGACAGAUGUGAAAUCCCCGGGCUCAACCUGGGAACCGCAUUUGUGACUGUAUAGCUAGAGUACGGUAGAGGGGGAUGGAAUUCCGCGUGUAGCAGUGAAAUGCGUAGAUAUGCGGAGGAACACCGAUGGCGAAGGCAAUCCCCUGGACCUGUACUGACGCUCAUGCACGAAAGCGUGGGGAGCAAACAGG
Molecule: ribosomal RNA, 253 nt
Filed under: uncultured bacterium
Lineage: Bacteria
Description: partial 16S ribosomal RNA
Rfam family: Bacterial small subunit ribosomal RNA
Source: RNAcentral